GACGAACGCUGGCGGCGUGCCUAAUACAUGCAAGUUGAGCGAUGAAGAUUGGUGCUUGCACCAAUUUGAAGAGCAGCGAACGGGUGAGUAACGCGUGGGGAAUCUGCCUUUGAGCGGGGGACAACAUUUGGAAACGAAUGCUAAUACCGCAUAACAACUUUAAACAUAAGUUUUAAGUUUGAAAGAUGCAAUUGCAUCACUCAAAGAUGAUCCCGCGUUGUAUUAGCUAGUUGGUGAGGUAAAGGCUCACCAAGGCGAUGAUACAUAGCCGACCUGAGAGGGUGAUCGGCCACAUUGGGACUGAGACACGGCCCAAACUCCUACGGGAGGCAGCAGUAGGGAAUCUUCGGCAAUGGACGAAAGUCUGACCGAGCAACGCCGCGUGAGUGAAGAAGGUUUUCGGAUCGUAAAACUCUGUUGGUAGAGAAGAACGUUGGUGAGAGUGGAAAGCUCAUCAAGUGACGGUAACUACACAGAAAGAGACGGCUAACUACGUG
RNAcentral lists this ribosomal RNA (497 nucleotides) under uncultured bacterium. RNAcentral describes it as "partial 16S ribosomal RNA". It matches the Rfam family "Bacterial small subunit ribosomal RNA", at positions 28 to 507 of the family's 1533-position model. The record is from RNAcentral.